GACGAACGCUGGCGGCGUGCUUAACACAUGCAAGUCGAACGGAAAGGCCCUGCUUUUGUGGGGUGCUCGAGUGGCGAACGGGUGAGUAACACGUGAGUAACCUGCCCUUGACUUUGGUAUAACUUCAGGAAACUGGGGCUAAUACCGGAUAGGAGCUCCUGCUGCAUGGUGGGGGUUGGAACGUUUCGGCGGUUGGGGAUGGACUGGCGGCUUAUCAGCUUGUUGGUGGGGUAGUGGCUUACCAAGGCCUUGACGGGUAGCCGGACUGAGUGGGUGACCGGCCACAUUGGGACUGAGAGACGGCCCAGACUCCUAAGGGAGGCAGAAGUGGGGAAUAUUGAACAAUGGGCGGAAGCCUGAUGCAGCAACGCCGCGUGCGGGAUGACGGCCUUCGGGUUGUAAACCGCUUUCGCCUGUGACGAGGCGUGAGUGACGGUAAUGGGUAAAGAAGCACCGGCUAACUACGUG
RNAcentral lists this ribosomal RNA (468 nucleotides) under uncultured bacterium. Its description in RNAcentral is "partial 16S ribosomal RNA". It matches the Rfam family "Bacterial small subunit ribosomal RNA", at positions 28 to 507 of the family's 1533-position model. The record is from RNAcentral.